GAUAAACUAGAUCUUGAUCCGCACGUCCGUGCGGAGUUUUAUUCUUUUUACCCUAAAGUGAUGAAAUAACUUAUUGAAUAAAGUACUAAUGUAAAUACAAUUAUCUACAUUUUGAUAGAUUAUAAAAAUAAUUCUAGAAAGCAAUAAACAUAAAUACGUUUAUAAUUUAGAAUUAGUUAAAAUCAUAAAUUCCCAACGGAUUUUUCAAGGGAGCAUAAAUAACCAUUGGGUUGAUAACUUAAAAACCAUUUCCAUUUGUCAUAAAUGUGUGUCGGAAACGACCAUAUGUUUAUGAUUCUCGUAUUGAUCACGCCUUUGCUCUUGGUCCAUUAUUUAGUAAAGACUCUUCCUCAGCUCU
RNAcentral lists this long non-coding RNA (358 nucleotides) under Brassica napus (rape). RNAcentral's name for it is "long non-coding RNA (BNAP_LNC013238)". The record is from RNAcentral. Lineage: Eukaryota; Viridiplantae; Streptophyta; Magnoliopsida; Brassicales; Brassicaceae.